RNAcentral lists this ribosomal RNA (919 nucleotides) under Coomansus batxatensis. RNAcentral describes it as "SSU rRNA". It matches the Rfam family "Eukaryotic small subunit ribosomal RNA", at positions 101 to 1020 of the family's 1831-position model. Lineage: Eukaryota; Metazoa; Nematoda; Enoplea; Mononchida; Mononchidae. The record is from RNAcentral.
AUACAACAGCCACCGUUUAUUAGAUCAUUAAGUUAUCUACUUGGAUAACUGUGGCAAUUCUAGAGCUAAUACAUGCACGCAAGCUCGGACCUUAUGGGAAGAGCGCAUUUAUUAGACCAAAACCAAUCAAGCUUCGGUUUGUGUUUUGGUGACUCUGAAUAACUAAGUUGAUCGCACAGUCUUAGUACUGGCGACGUAUUUUUCAAAUGUCUGCCUUAUCAACUUUCGAUGGUAGGUUAUACGCCUACCAUGGUUAUAACGGGUAACGGAGAAUAAGGGUUCGACUCCGGAGAGGGAGCCUGAGAAAUGGCUACCACAUCCAAGGAAGGCAGCAGGCGCGCAAAUUACCCAAUCCCAGAACGGGGAGGUAGUGACGAAAAAUAACGAGGUAGUCCACUUUGUGGCCUGCCAUCGGAAUGGGUACAAUUUAAAUCUUUUAACGAGGAUCUAUUAGAGGGCAAGUCUGGUGCCAGCAGCCGCGGUAAUUCCAGCUCUAAUAGCGUAUAUUAAAGUUGUUGUGGUUAAAACGCCCGUAGUUGAAUCUUCGGUCUUGAAGCUCGGUAACUCGUAAGGGUUUAACUGAGUCUUCUGGCCUAAAUUUUAGUAUUCUCCUGAUGCUCUUUAUUGAGUGUCUUGAGUUGCUAGAACGUUUACUUUGAAAAAAUUAGAGUGCUAAAAGCAGGCUAUAUGCUUGAAUAAAGUGCAUGGAAUAAUGGAAUAGGACUUUAGUUUUAUUUUGUUGGUUUUCGAAAUUAAAGUAAUGAUUAAGAGGAACAGACGGGGGCAUUAGUAUUGUUGCGUUAGAGGUGAAAUUCUUGGAUCGCAGCAAGACUAACAACUGCGAAAGCAUUUGCCAAGAAUGUUUUCAUUAAUCAAGGACGAUAGGUUAGAGGUUCGAAGGCGAUCAGAAAAACCGCCC